CGGAGGGUGCAAGCGUUGCUCGGAAUCAUUGGGCGUAAAGGGUGCGUAGGCGGCUUUUUAAGUCUGACGUGAAAGCCCAAGGCUCAGCCUUGGAAGUGCGCCAGAAACUGGAAGGCUCGAGUGCCGGAGGGGAGAGUGGAAUUCCUGGUGUAGCGGUGAAAUGCGUAGAUAUCAGGAGGAAUACCGGUGGCGAAAGCGACUCUCUGGACGGUAACUGACGCUGAGGCACGAAAGCGUGGGGAGCAAACAGGAUUAGAUACCCUGGUAGUCCACGCUGUAAACGAUGGGCACUAGGUGUCGGGGGUAUCCACUCCCUCGGUGCCGCCGCUAACGCAUUAAGUGCCCCGCCUGGGAAGUACGGCCGCAAGGUUA
RNAcentral lists this ribosomal RNA (372 nucleotides) under uncultured organism. RNAcentral describes it as "bacterial SSU rRNA". It matches the Rfam family "Bacterial small subunit ribosomal RNA", at positions 526 to 896 of the family's 1533-position model. The record is from RNAcentral.